CCCUUCCCUUACCCUCAGCAGGACACAAACAGAGGCCACAACCUCUCAGGAGCAAAAAUGAUGUAUUUUGGGAAAAUGGGGGUAGGAAGAUGUAAUUAGCACACAGAGCAUGCAUGGGCUAACAGGAAAAAACAGGUUUUCUCUGCAUCCACGUCAUUGAUUUUUGGAGAAAAGUUUUCCUACAGUGAAAGGUGUGAGAAGCACACUCUGGUUGACCACACGAGACUCCUGUUUGAGGACAGCAUGGUGGGUAGUGGGGGGCUGAGGGACCUGCCACACUUGGCCCAUGCUGGCAGGGUUUAGCUGGGGACCACAGCUCCCCGCGUAGCAAGAUCCACUUGCCAUACUUGCCAUCCCUGUCUCUGGUCCACUUACACUAUUUAGACAGCUGUGGCUCCUGGGGGUGGCUUUGUGACUGUCACCUGUCAUCACUCUUGUCUGCUCUCAAGAGGAUGCACCCCCAUACUAGCAGGAUGCCCAGCUACCCAGGCCUGAAAUUGUUCCUUGUGCUGCUUUAAUUGGGAGAUGUGAAGUCCUCAGCAAAGCCCCAAUUUCUCUCCCAGGGCUAGUCCAAAAGAUGUCACCAUCGGCUGAGCUUCAACAGCCCUGCCGUCUAGAACUGAGCUGUUUCUGACUGGUCCCUGGCUCUGGGCCGUGGCGGAUACAGGCUGGCCUUCUGGAAGGGGAUCUUCUGGUGCUUUGUCUUCUUUACUGGGCUUCAGACAGGGCAGAAGGAGUCUCAUCCUUUUCCUGAAUCAGCAUUCUGGAAAACCUUGUUCCUUCUCUGGCAGGAGCUGGAGGUCUUUGCUCCCAAGGAUGUUUCCUAUUCCGCUGACCAGGGGAGAGUGGCUCAUCCCACUGGCCUGGGAAGCCCCCAGUCCUGGAAAUCUCUCUCCAUCCUCUCCUGGUCCAGGACUCAUAUACUCCUCCUUCUCAGCAACUUGGGGAAGCCGACUCUUCCAUAGGGCCUUACGUUUUGGUCUCCUAGGCUGCUGCUGCCCCUGAAUCCCCUGUCUACUAGAUUGGAGGUCAUAUGGCACCUGGAAAGCUGCCACGUCCCCACUGUUGUAUUCCCUCUGGGACCUGGACAGUGACCAGUGAGAAGCCAACACAUGUGUGGCAUGGAGCACACAAGUGUGAGAGUCUCGAAGGAGCCGGCCAGCAGCAUGGCCUUGAGGCUGGGUCUGACACGACCUUCCCUUGCAGCUCAGUCUUACUGGUGAGCUUCAUUUUCAAGCACAGCUCCUUUGGAUCUUGGGCAACUGACUUUGUAGGUGGUGAGGGGCUUGUCCUGGACCCUGGAGACACUGGAUUCCUCACAGGCACAUUCACGGUUUGGGGAGUUGGCCAGCACACUGGGUCUCAACAUGAGAUGUCAAAGAAGCGCCUCCUCAAACUCCACAAGCUCACUCGGCCCCUCAGCCCCCGAAGACUGGGACCCUGAGCUGCCCUCCAGUCUUGCUACCCCACGGCAGGGAUCUUGUGAGGCCCCACCCUACUCUCCUCCCUUGGCUCAUUCCUGGCCAUUGCUGAACCUGGACUCAACUCUAACUGCCUCGCUCGGCCCCCACGACCGUCCCACUCUGCCAGCUUCUGCCCGGGAGGCUGAGUGUGAAGGUCUGAGAAGGCGGCCUGUCCUCCUGUCCAUCAGAGGGGCCUCUGAGGGCCCACAGCCAUCACCAGGUAGAGUCCCUCCAGGGCCUUCUGGAUUUCCUCACCCACAGGUGAGGGAGCAGAGAGGGGACGGGCCAGGGUAGGAAGUGACUCUUUUGUUAUUAAACUGUUUUGUUUCUCUGGCGGAGGAGGCUGAAGAGGUUUUCUCAAGAACUUGGUAAAGUUGGCUUCCGAGAGGCCCCAGAUUCACAGGUGGCUGAGGAGGGAAAGUGGACCAUGGAAGAGGUCGGGGGUGCUCGGUCAGAGGAGCCAGGGGAACUGCUGGCGACAUGGCGAGGGCAGCAUCUUCCACAGGCUCCCUGCAUGGCUGAUGGGCUCAGCAUAUGCUGUUUUGCGGACCUCCCCAGGGGAGUCUGGACAUGACAGCCAAUGAAAGCCAGCCUUGUGAGAGAGCCUCCCCAGGAACUGCAGGAGACAGGAGGCACAAGCUGCAGCCAGGAGCAGAGGGCCCCAGGAGGGCUGGGCAGGCCAGGCAGUGUGGCCAUUAAGGGCCACGGCCCUCCACAGCCUCAACCCUCAAGUCACAAAAUUCUCCUGUUGUCCCUCACCCCAGGCCUUUAGCCACACCCUGUCCCCAUGGCCCCCUCCCAGCUCAGCCCCAAGCUGCCUACAGCCCUGGAGUCACAUCAGAGGUUCUGGGAGAAAGAAGGACCCAGGAGAGAUGAAAAGAUUCUUGACCUUUGUGGAACAGAAAUCAGGCCCUGCACUUCUAGUCCUUUCCGACCAUCUCUGUAAGCUGGAAAUCAGGAGACUGGGUCACCGUGCUGAAGGCAGGAGCCUAGGGGUCUUACAGGAGGCUGCAAGAAUGUCCCUUUAGGGGCCACAGUUGAGAGGUCAGACUCUGGAGCCCAGGCAUUAUAUCCAAGGCCAUGGGAUCCCUGACGGGGAUGGCAAGGCUCCUGACGGGUUAAGCUUUCUCUUUGACAAAGUGCUUCCACAUCCACCACAGCCCACAGGGCCUACUGGGCAACACCCAUUUCCAGGCCCCUCCACACUUGGGGCUUGCUUCCCAGCACAGACUCUGGCAAGUCUCUGGGUUCUCAUCUCCUUCCUGGGAGCUUCCCAGAGGGCUCUGUUUCCUGAGGGACAGGCUCUGCCCCUGGCAUCCUCAGAGCCCGUGGAGCUGGGCGCUCAGGGACAGGAGAUGGAGGCCAGCUCUGGGACACAGGGCUGAAUGGCAGAAGCUCACCUUGCAAAAUUCCACUUUUCCUCCUACUCCUGCUGCUCCUCCCUCUCGGCUGCUCUUGAUGCUGAGAAGCAAGAAAAAACAAAAGACACCAGGGGCUGAGACCCAGGGCUCCCUCUCCUCUGUCUAGGCCAGCUGCAGACGCUCAGUGUCCAUGAGCAAGAGGACCUUCUAUACUGAACUCCUGGAGCUCUGUGGUCUUUCUUCCCUUUUGAACAUAAAAUGGAUAUUUGCUGUCUUCCUUCUUUGAAGAACAUAAGGAUUUUCUGUGUGAGACCCACCAUGGAUUUCUUCCAUCACUGUCCUCUGCUCAAGAAACACGCACCUUCUCAGACGUACAGAUGCUUCUGAGCUUCUCAGGCAGGAUUCUGCUUCCUGAGGCCAGAGCCCCACUCCAGGCCCUGCUCGGAGGCUCUCGGGGGCUCAGCACUGCUCUAAGAUCAGCCCCCACGAGGAAAGGUCCGGCUCAUCCACCUGCCACGGGGAGGCAGAUGGGGAACCAGUGCUCAGGGCCUGUCUGCCCACACAGGUCCCACUCAGCAUCCAGUCCUCGGCCGCUGGUCACUGCACUGGGGAGUUUCCCUGGAGCCCUCUGCCACACCUGGACUCAUGCUCCGAGAUCUUCGCAUGGAAAUCCUUGUGCCUACUCUAAGUCCUGCCUCCCCACCUGGCUUGUCCCUAGAAGGGUGAUGUUCUAUUCUUGCCCAUUCCAGGACCAGGAGUCUCUCUAGUUGAUUCAGAAAAGUGGACAUCACAGUAGAAAAGAAGAGAGAAUCAACUUCUGGUGGGUCUUGGCCAAGGGUUCCUCACCUUCCUCAUGUUUCUACGUUUGCAAGGUGGUCGUGAAGAUGGAUUAUUCUGGACGUAGGGAAGGAACAUGAGGAAGAACCCCAGUCCACACUGGAAGAUGGGGAGUCGAUUUGGAUUACAGGACACUCUGGAGUAGGAGAAAGAGUAAGGUUGAGUGAAUGCCUCUGAACGGAGCCAACUGCCUGAUUCCCACCACCAGGUCCUUAUAAAGUCAUCUUCACCGAUGGAACGGCCAGCUGUGGGUCAGACAUCACAAUUAUCAUUAGGACCAAAAGCUGGGUAAACUUUUAGAGGGACUACCUUGGAAGUACAGACAAAGGCAAGACAAAAUUGAGAAGAGGCCUUUUAAUAAUUUGAAAACUGAUCAUAUUUACAACAUAUGUAUCAAUAGCAGGAAAACGCUCGUGGGGGAAUUACCUAAUAACUAUCAAUGUAGGGAUAGCAUCUACAAUUCAGUCAUUCUCAGAUUUUUCAGUGAAAUGUUCCCUAACCAUGAGGAAAGUAGACCUAUAUGUGGAUGAGAGCCUGGCGUGCAGCCAGAGGCAGUCAUCUCAAGCCUGAAAUAUCUGUAAAAUUUACAUAAAUGUUGCAUUAUACUCCAGAAUAGAGCUAUGUUUAUUGUGACAUAGCAGUAUUGCUUCCAAUUUAAAAAUUUUAGUUAAAAUCCUUUGAAAUAUUAAGCAGUUUAAGCAAAACUGACCUCCAGGACGAGGAUUGCUCUAUGGCCCAGGCAUACAUACAUCCCUGGCACGGAGCACCCCACUGUGAGAAGCAUAGCUCUACAUUUUCUUAAGACAUUCAAAUUAAAUCUUUCUUUUAAAAAAAAUGUCUAAACUCCAACACUGAGUCUUUGCUCAAACGAUCCCUUCCAUCUGGAACACUUUUCCUAGCCUUUCCCAUGAAUCUC
This 4577-nucleotide long non-coding RNA is filed under the name Equus caballus (horse). RNAcentral describes it as "lncRNA (ENSECAG00000045272.1)". Lineage: Eukaryota; Metazoa; Chordata; Mammalia; Perissodactyla; Equidae. The record is from RNAcentral.